UACGUAGGUGGCAAGCGUUGUCCGGAUUUAUUGGGUUUAAAGGGUGCGUAGGCGGCCCUGUAAGUCAGUGGUGAAAUACGGCAGCUCAACUGUCGAGGUGCCAUUGAUACUGCAGGGCUUGAGUACAGACGAGGUAGGCGGAAUUGACGGUGUAGCGGUGAAAUGCGUAGAUAUCGGAAGGAACACCAGUGGCGAAAGCGGCUUCCUGGUCCAGCACCGACGUUCAGGCACGAAAGCGUGGGGAGCAAACAGG
This 253-nucleotide ribosomal RNA is filed under the name uncultured prokaryote. RNAcentral describes it as "partial 16S ribosomal RNA". It matches the Rfam family "Bacterial small subunit ribosomal RNA", at positions 524 to 776 of the family's 1533-position model. The record is from RNAcentral.